RNAcentral lists this ribosomal RNA (115 nucleotides) under Vibrio vulnificus. The record is from RNAcentral. Lineage: Bacteria; Pseudomonadati; Pseudomonadota; Gammaproteobacteria; Vibrionales; Vibrionaceae.
UGGCGACCAUAGCGUUUUGGACCCACCUGAACCCAUUCCGAACUCAGAAGUGAAACGAAAUAGCGUCGAUGGUAGUGUGGGGUUUCCCCAUGUGAGAGUAGAACAUCGCCAGGCU